CGCACACCAGAAAGUCGCGCUUGGAGGUUGGCAGGCACGAUACAGAGCCAUCGAUGUUUGCCCUGCUUCCCUCAGAUCUGCGGCAUUCUACAAACGAAUAAGAAGAAGAUAAUAUUUUGAGGCGCUUGCAGCGUGUGAGUGUGUAGUUGCUUCGCUCAUGUGUGAAGGGGAAACGCGCAUCACUUCGCCUUCCCUCGUUCGGUAGCAAUGCCAUCAAGCGUCGCCUACGUCUUGGGGACGGAAAGCUGUGGAAAGACAGACCUCGUCCACCAGCUGGAGUAUCUCACUCAGGGGCUUGUGCGCACGGUGCCGACUGCCUGUACGCCGACGACGGGGCAGGAAGUGACGGAGCUCAGUAUCCGCUCCCCCGCUGGCAAAGGGAAGGUCACGGUCGAGGUGCGGGAGCUGGGAGGAUCUCUGGUGAACACCUGGGAGAGCUUUAUUGAGUCUCGAAAGGCCAGGGACGGCGGCAGCGGUGACACAUCGUUUCUUCUGAUCUACGUCGUCGAUGGAGUGGCUCCUCACCAGCUGCCGUUGGCUUCCACCAUGUUUCGUUAUCUCACGCAGGGCCGCCAUGCACCCUGCGCAGGAUGGCCGACGCUCAUCGCCGUGCAGAAAUGCGCCAGCGUAAACGCCGUCACGGCAGAGGAAGUGCGGAGCUUCUUCCUAGACGAGGUGGAAGCACCGGCAAAUGUCGACGUUGUUGAGGUAGACUCGUGGAAUGGUAUCGGAGCAGGGGACGUGCUCAGAGGGAUCGAGGCAGUUUUCGGUGGCCUUCAGUAGCGAUGGUAUCUUGGCCCCUUUGCAUAUCGUGUAUAUGGGCGGCUCAUGUUGCAUGCGCGCGAGUGUGCGUGUGUGUGCGGUGGGUGGAAGGAUGUCACCUGCCAUUGCUUCGUACCCCUCAGCCUCCUCACAGUCUUGUACAACAGAACUCCCUCGCUCUAUUU
This 947-nucleotide unclassified non-coding RNA is filed under the name Leishmania donovani. RNAcentral describes it as "gene:LdHU3.14.0080(CDS-product:ADP-ribosylation_f actor_family_putative)". The record is from RNAcentral. Lineage: Eukaryota; Euglenozoa; Kinetoplastea; Trypanosomatida; Trypanosomatidae.